This 484-nucleotide ribosomal RNA is filed under the name uncultured bacterium. RNAcentral describes it as "partial 16S ribosomal RNA". It matches the Rfam family "Bacterial small subunit ribosomal RNA", at positions 30 to 507 of the family's 1533-position model. The record is from RNAcentral.
AUUGAACGCUGGCGGCAGGCCUAACACAUGCAAGUCGAGCGGAUGAAGGGAGCUUGCUCCUGGAUUCAGCGGCGGACAGGUGAGUAAUGCCUAGGAAUCUGCCUGGUAGUGGGGGCUAACGUCCGUAAACGGGCGCUAAUACCGCAUACGUCCUGAGGGCGAAAGUGGGGGUUCUUCGGACCUCACGCUUUCUGAUGUGCCUAGGUCGGAUUAGCUAGUUGGUGGGGUAAAGGCCUACCAAGGCGACGAUCCGUAACUGGUCUGAGAGGAUGAUCAGUCACACUGGAACUGAGACACGGUCCAGACUCCUACGGGAGGCAGCAGUGGGGAAUAUUGGACAAAGGGCGAAAGCGUGAUCCAGCAAAGCCGCGUGUGUGAAGAAGGACUUCGGAUUGGAAAGCACUUUAAGUUGGGAGGAAGGGAAGUAAGAUAAUAACUUGCUGUAUUGACGUUACCAACAGAAUAAGCACCGGCUAACUUCGUG